CUGCGGAUCGAUAAGUGCACGGCAAUUGCUAGUUUACCGCUGAAUAUCGCCGCCCGGAUCAUUGAGUUCAACGGGUUUGUACCCCUAGGCAUUUUCACGUACUAUUUGACUCUCUAUUCAGAGUGCUUUUUUCAACUUUCCCUCACGGGUACUUGUUCGCUAUCGGACUCAUGGUGGUAUUUAGCUUUAGAAGGAGGAAGCCCUCCCACCU
This is a long non-coding RNA of Anopheles coluzzii, 211 nucleotides long. RefSeq lists it as uncharacterized. The transcript is spliced from 3 exons. Lineage: Eukaryota; Metazoa; Arthropoda; Insecta; Diptera; Culicidae. The record is from RefSeq and is a predicted model, not a curated record.